RNAcentral lists this ribosomal RNA (137 nucleotides) under Bacillus obstructivus. Its description in RNAcentral is "partial 23S ribosomal RNA". It matches the Rfam family "Bacterial large subunit ribosomal RNA", at positions 440 to 580 of the family's 2925-position model. Lineage: Bacteria; Bacillati; Bacillota; Bacilli; Caryophanales; Bacillaceae. The record is from RNAcentral.
CCUGGAAUUACCAUCUCCCAAGGCUAAAUACUCCCUAGUGACCGAUAGUGAACCAGUACCGUGAGGGAAAGGUGAAAAGCACCCCGGGAGGGGAGUGAAAGAGAACCUGAAACCGUGUGCCUACAAGUAGUUAGAGC